RNAcentral lists this long non-coding RNA (270 nucleotides) under Brassica napus (rape). RNAcentral describes it as "long non-coding RNA (BNAP_LNC025465)". Lineage: Eukaryota; Viridiplantae; Streptophyta; Magnoliopsida; Brassicales; Brassicaceae. The record is from RNAcentral.
UGUGUGUGUGAAUCAAUGUGAGAGCUGAUUGAAGGAACUUGUUGGUAAAGAGUAUUGCAAUUUGAAUAGAGGCAAAAAAGUAUGGAUAGGCCUAGAGAAGCUAGAGUAUAAUAAGGAAGAGGCUCAUGCUAUUUGCUAUGUUUCUUUAGGAUGUUAAGUUGAGUGCUAGGAAGUGUUACUUUUGGCUAUGAGUUUCCACCUUCAAACCUCUCUCCCUUAUGAGUUCAUACAAAGUCACUUGAGGACAAGUAAAGAACAAGUUUGGGGGAG